AUCAGAUAGAAAGAAAGAACGAUAGAUUAGUUAGAAAGAAAGAUGGAUAGAUUAAUUAGUUAGAAAGAAAGAACGAUAGAUUAGUUAGAAAGAAAGAUGGAUAGAUUAGUUAGAAAGAAAGAUAGA
Rhinichthys klamathensis goyatoka is the source of this 126-nucleotide long non-coding RNA. RefSeq lists it as uncharacterized. Lineage: Eukaryota; Metazoa; Chordata; Actinopteri; Cypriniformes; Leuciscidae. The transcript is spliced from 2 exons. The record is from RefSeq and is a predicted model, not a curated record.